UGAGGGAUAUUGGGCAAUGGGGAAGCCCAUGACCCACGCGACGCCGCGUGAGGGAAGACGGUCUUCGGAUUGUAAACCUCUGUCUUUGGGGACGAAAAGGACGGUACCCAAGGAGGAAGCUCCGGCUAACUACGUGCCAGCAGCCGCGGUAAUACGUAGGGAGCGAGCGUUGUCCGGAAUUACUGGGUGUAAAGGGAGCGUAGGCGGGAUUGCAAGUUGGAUGUGAAACUGCGGGCUCAACCCGGAGAGUGCAUUCAAAACUGCGAUUCUUGAGUGAAGUAGAGGCAAGCGGAAUUCCUAGUGUAGCGGUGAAAUGCGUAGAUAUUAGGAGGAACACCAGUGGCGAAGGCGGCUUGCUGGGCUUUUACUGACGCUGAGGCUCGAAAGUGUGGGGAGCAAACAGGAUUAGAUACC
Molecule: ribosomal RNA, 414 nt
Filed under: uncultured bacterium
Lineage: Bacteria
Description: bacterial SSU rRNA
Rfam family: Bacterial small subunit ribosomal RNA
Source: RNAcentral